Helianthus annuus (common sunflower) is the source of this 1323-nucleotide long non-coding RNA. RefSeq lists it as uncharacterized. The record is from RefSeq and is a predicted model, not a curated record. The transcript is spliced from 5 exons. NCBI's taxonomy places the organism in Eukaryota, Viridiplantae, Streptophyta, Magnoliopsida, Asterales, Asteraceae.
UUCCUUUGAAACCCUUGCUCUACCUUCAUCGUUCAUUAGUUGAAGAGCCCUAUCACAUUUCAUUCCAUACGAUUCAUCUUCUUCUUCUUCAAUCAAAACAAAACAUAUUGACCCACAACUUCUUUAGAGAGAGAGAGAGAGAGAAUCGCCCUUCUUACUCUCCUUCAUUGAAUGUAUCUCCUGAAUCGUAUUUCCUUCAAUUCGUCUUUUCAAUCCCCUCCGUUUCAAUCGCACCCCUGAAAGAUAAAAGUGGUUGGAUUUGAUGAGAAGUGUGUUCCACGUAGUACCCAGUCGUCACGUUUCCAGAUUCGUAGAGAGAGAGAUGAGAGAUGAGUUAGCAGAGAACUUCUAUAAUUGCGAUCAACUACUGCUAGGGUUUACACUCGCUUUCUUCUAAUUAAUCGCACCAAACAGUGCUUCAAAGCUUCAAGCAAUUUGAUGACGCUUAAAACCUGUGUAAUAUCAUGGUCUAUCUAAUUCGUUUUGGUGUUGAGUGUAUACAUGUGAUAUGUUAUGAGUUCUGCUGCUUGUGGAGUUGUGGUCAUCCAUUUGUGCAACUUGUCGGCAAGGACUUGAAGAUGAUGUACCUUGCUAUUGAGACUCAAAUGGAGGGUUGGAAAACAAACCUUUGAAGGUUUUUUGUUCUCAACUAACGUGAGCUUGGGGGCUUUUUACAUCAGUUGACUUUUCUGGUCAACAACAGUGUGUUCUUACAUUCCUCCAUUGUUUUUGUUUCUGAUGUCAUCUCUUCAUAUAUGUUUAUUAAAACAUUCAUUUCUGAAGAUUAUAAGUACCUCUAUGAAUAAAUAUUCAACAAUUUUUUACUUCAGCCAUGAAAUGAAAAUAUUACCAUCAAAUGUCAUCAAAGUGAACGACCUUUCCAUUUUCAUUGUUCUGUUUCGAUUGUUGCCACCCCUUUGCUUUCUAGGCUUCAUAUAAGUAAAUAAUAACUCUUAAUUUAUCCACGUAGUUUGGGGCACGUGCAUAUUCAACUAUAAUUGAUUGAUUUCCAUAAACAAUGUAAUUGUGCAUAUUUAUUUUUGGAUAACCGUCUACAUAAAUGUUUCGUGCUUUUCCUUCCCAGGCCUGCUUAUGCAGAUUCGGAUUCAGAAGAAACAGUUGACAGUGACCCACAUGAAAGUCAGUUGGCUGGUGAUGGGAUUGGGGAUGACGGUGGCAUGCGUUAGCUAAAUUUUGGUCUAUGUGUUAUCCAAUAAGAUAGGAAGGCGUGCGAGAGUUUAUGCGUUUUUCCUUUUUCUGUUUCAUGUUUUUUCCUUGGAAGACAUCUUUUUUCACUUCUUUUUGGCUGACAAGUUUUGCAAG